This 561-nucleotide long non-coding RNA is filed under the name Capsella rubella. RNAcentral describes it as "long non-coding RNA (CRUB_LNC004483)". The record is from RNAcentral. Lineage: Eukaryota; Viridiplantae; Streptophyta; Magnoliopsida; Brassicales; Brassicaceae.
UCCUGCAAGAAUAUAUGAUACAUGUUAACACACAAAAUUCGUAACUGACAAAAUUUGGGCCCUAAUCCUAUAUAUGUAACUUGGUAAAUUUUUGAAUUGUGGGACUUUACUUGAUUAACAUAGAUGAUUGCUUGUAGCAUUCUAAAGUAUGAUUGGCUGUAGCAUUCUAAAGUAUGAUUGUUUGUAGCAUUCUAAAGUAUGAUAAAUAUUAAUUACCUUUUAAGUAGACGAUUAAGUAAUCUAGUAGUGAGGAGGAGGCGGAGAUUUGUAAAGGUAUGGGUGGUGUGGAGGUGAGUAAACUGGAGGGGGAGAGUAAUGGACCGGAGGGGGAGAGUAGUGCACCGGUGGUGGUGGGGAGUGAUAUACGACUGGAGGGGGAGAGUAAUGGACAGGAGGAGGAGAAUAGUGCACAGGUGGUGGUGGAGAGUGAUAUACAACGGGAGGAGGAGAGUAGUGAACCGGUGGGGGUGGGGAGUGGUAUACUACUGGAGGAGGAGAGUAAUGAACUGGUGGGGGUGGAGAUUUGUAAACCGGAGGGGGAGAGUAAUACUUAACUGGGGN